UUGAUUAAGAAUUGAUUUAAGGUUUAAGAUUUGAUUAAGGUUUGAUUAGGGUUUAGUUUAGGAUUUAGGAUUUGUCUAGGAUUUUAUUAAGGUUGGAUUAGGAUUAGGGUUUGGUUAGAAUUUAAGAUUCUAUUAGAUUUUUGUUAGGAUUUGACUAAGUUUUCUUUAAUAUUCUUUUAUAUUUCUUUAGGAUUUCCUUGUGUUUCUUUUAUAACUUCAAUAAAAUUUAAUUGAGCUUGCUUAAUGUUUGAUUAUGAUUAUUA
Molecule: long non-coding RNA, 263 nt
Filed under: Physcomitrium patens
Lineage: Eukaryota; Viridiplantae; Streptophyta; Bryopsida; Funariales; Funariaceae
Description: long non-coding RNA (PPAT_LNC011090)
Source: RNAcentral